AAUUUCCCAGAUAGCCAUGGCACGUCUAAGUACAAACUAAAUGAUGGUGAAACUGCAAAUGGGCUCAUUACAACGGUUAUGAUGUACCCGGGAGUUCCGAUGGAUAUUUCCAGUAACACUAGAACUAAUACAUGUCCCUGCGUUUAUUAGUUUCGCACAGUCCGUCGCUGAGUCAUGGUAAACAGUUGAUCGACUCGACGUCCCGGAACAGUUUCCGCCCCAUCAGCUUCGAUGGUUGGGUAUUGGCCUACCAUUGCAACAACGGGUAACGAGGAAUUAGGGUUUGAUUUCGGAGAGGGAGCCUGAGAAACGGCUACCACAUCUACGGAUGGCAGCAGGCGCGCAAAUUACCCAAUGCAGACACUGUGAGGUAGUGACGAGAAAUAAUAAAGCGGGACUUCUGUUUCGCUAUUAUAAUGAGGAAUAACCAAAGGUCAUUCCGAUUAGCAACUGAUGGGAAAGUCUGGUGCCAGCAGCCGCGGUAAUACCAGCGUCAGUAG
Molecule: ribosomal RNA, 500 nt
Filed under: uncultured Myrionecta
Lineage: Eukaryota; Ciliophora; Litostomatea; Cyclotrichida; Mesodiniidae
Description: SSU rRNA
Rfam family: Eukaryotic small subunit ribosomal RNA
Source: RNAcentral